Molecule: ribosomal RNA, 479 nt
Filed under: uncultured bacterium
Lineage: Bacteria
Description: partial 16S ribosomal RNA
Rfam family: Bacterial small subunit ribosomal RNA
Source: RNAcentral
GACGAACGCUGGCGGCGUGCUUAACACAUGCAAGUCGAACGAUGAACCCGGAGCUUGCUCCGGUGGAUUAGUGGCGAACGGGUGAGGAACACGUGAGAAACCUGCCCUGGACUCUGGGAUAACAGUUGGAAACGACAGCUAAUACCGGAUGCCGUCACCGAGUGGCAUCACUUGGUGACGAAAGAAUUUCGGUCCAGGAGGGUCUCGCGGCCUAUCAGCUAGUUGGUGGGGUAACGGCCUACCAAGGCAUCGACGGGUAGCUGGUCUGAGAGGAUGAUCAGCCACACUGGGACUGAGACACGGCCCAGACUCCUACGGGAGGCAGCAGUGGGGAAUCUUGUGCAAUGGGCGAAAGCCUGACACAGCAACGCCGCGUGCGGGAAGAAGGCCUUCGGGUCGUAGACCGCUUUCAGCAGGAACGAAAAUGACGGUACCUGCAGAAGAAGGUGCGGCCAACUACGUGCCAGCCGCCGCGGUAA